GUUGUAUGGUUAAGUGACUAAGCGUACAUGGUGGAUGCCUUGGCAGUCAGAGGCGAUGAAGGACGUACUAACCUGCGAUAAGCCGUGAGCAGUCGGUAAGAGACAUUACGACUCACGGAUUUCCGAAUGGGGAAACCCACCCAAGAUAACUUGGGUAUCGUUACAUGAAUACAUAGUGUAACGAGGCGAACCGGGAGAACUGAAACAUCUAAGUACCCCGAGGAAAAGAAAUCAACCGAGAUUCCCUCAGUAGCGGCGAGCGAACGGGGAUUAGCCCUUAAGCAUCUUGGAAGUUAGUGGAACGGUCCUGGAAAGGCCGGCGAUACAGGGUGAUAGCCCCGUACACGAAAACAACCUUGAUGUGAAAUCGAGUAGGGCGGGACACGUGACAUCCUGUCUGAAUAUGGGGGGACCAUCCUCCAAGGCUAAAUACUCCUGACUGACCGAUAGUGAACCAGUACCGUGAGGGAAAGGCGAAAAGAACCCCUGUGAGGGGAGUGAAAUAGAACCUGAAACCGUGUACGUACAAGCAGUGGGAGCCCUUCGGGGUGACUGCGUACCUUUUGUAUAAUGGGUCAGCGACUUACAUUUUGUAGCGAGGUUAACCGUAUAGGGGAGCCGUAGGGAAACCGAGUCUUAACUGGGCGUCUAGUUGCAAGGUGUAGACCCGAAACCGGGUGAUCUAGCCAUGGGCAGGUUGAAGGUUGAGUAACAUCAACUGGAGGACCGAACCCACUAACGUUGCAAAGUUAGGGGAUGACCUGUGGCUGGGGGUGAAAGGCCAAUCAAACUCGGAGAUAGCUGGUUCUCCCCGAAAGCUAUUUAGGUAGCGCCUCGGACGAAUACUACUGGGGGUAGAGCACUGUUUGGGCUAGGGGGUCAUCCCGACUUACCAACCCCAUGCAAACUCCGAAUACCAGUAAGUAAUAUCCGGGAGACACACGGCGGGUGCUAACGUCCGUCGUGAAGAGGGAAACAACCCAGACCGCCGGCUAAGGUCCCAAAGUUCUGGUUAAGUGGGAAACGAUGUGGGAAGGCUCAGACAGCUAGGAUGUUGGCUUAGAAGCAGCCAUCAUUUAAAGAAAGCGUAAUAGCUCACUAGUCGAGUCGGCCUGCGCGGAAGAUGUAACGGGGCUCAAACCAGGCACCGAAGCCGCGGAUUCACGCUAAGCGUGAGUGGUAGGGGAGCGUUCUGUAAGUCUGCGAAGGUGUGUCGAGAGGCAUGCUGGAGAUAUCAGAAGUGCGAAUGCUGACGUAAGUAACGAUAAAGGGGGUGAAAAGCCUCCUCGCCGGAAGACCAAGGGUUCCUGUCCAACGUUAAUCGGGGCAGGGUGAGUCGACCCCUAAGGUGAGGCCGAAAGGCGUAAUCGAUGGGAAGCAGGUUAAUAUUCCUGCACGACUUGUAAUUGCGAUGGGGGGACGGAGAAGGCUAGGUGGGCCAGGCGACGGUUGUCCUGGUGAAAGUGCGUAGGUGGUGUUUCUAGGCAAAUCCGGAGACACAACACUGAGACACGAGACGAACACACUACGGUGUGGAAGCCAUUGAUGCCCUGCUUCCAGGAAAAGCCUCUAAGCUUCAGAUUACAAGUCAUCGUACCCCAAACCGACACAGGUGGUCGGGUAGAGAAUACCAAGGCGCUUGAGAGAACUCGGGUGAAGGAACUAGGCAAAAUAGUACCGUAACUUCGGGNCAGGGUGAGUCGACCCCUAAGGCGAGGCCGAAAGGCGUAGUCGAUGGGAAGCAGGUUAAUAUUCCUGCACGACUUGUAAUUGCGAUGGGGGGACGGAGAAGGCUAGGUGGGCCAGGCGACGGUUGUCCUGGUGAAAGUGCGUAGGUGGUGUUUCUAGGCAAAUCCGGAGACACAACACUGAGACACGAGACGAACACACUACGGUGUGGAAGCCAUUGAUGCCCUGCUUCCAGGAAAAGCCUCUAAGCUUCAGAUUACAAGUCAUCGUACCCCAAACCGACACAGGUGGUCGGGUAGAGAAUACCAAGGCGCUUGAGAGAACUCGGGUGAAGGAACUAGGCAAAAUAGUACCGUAACUUCGGGAGAAGGUACGCUCUUGUUGGUGAAGUCCCUUGCGGAUGGAGCUGACGGGAGUCGCAGUGACCAGAUGGCUGGGACUGUUUAUCAAAAACACAGCACUCUGCAAACACGAAAGUGGACGUAUAGGGUGUGACACCUGCCCGGUGCCGGAAGGUUAAUUGAUGGGGUUAGCGCAAGCGAAGCUCUUGAUCGAAGCCCCGGUAAACGGCGGCCGUAACUAUAACGGUCCUAAGGUAGCGAAAUUCCUUGUCGGGUAAGUUCCGACCUGCACGAAUGGUGUAACCAUGGCCAUGCUGUCUCCACCCGAGACUCAGUGAAAUCGAAUUCGCCGUGAAGAUGCGGUGUACCCGCGGCUAGACGGAAAGACCCCGUGAACCUUUACUACAGCUUGGCACUGAACAUUGAACCUACAUGUGUAGGAUAGGUGGGAGGCUUUGAAGGCGUGACGCCAGUUGCGCUGGAGCCGUCCUUGAAAUACCACCCUUGUAUGUUUGAUGUUCUAACGCAGGGCCCUGAAUCGGGCUCGCGGACAGUGCCUGGUGGGUAGUUUGACUGGGGCGGUCUCCUCCCAAAGAGUAACGGAGGAGCACGAAGGUUGGCUAAUCCUGGUCGGACAUCAGGAGGUUAGUGCAAUGGCAUAAGCCAGCUUAACUGCGAGACGGACAGGUCGAGCAGGUACGAAAGUAGGUCAUAGUGAUCCGGUGGUUCUGAAUGGAAGGGCCAUCGCUCAACGGAUAAAAGGUACUCCGGGGAUAACAGGCUGAUACCGCCCAAGAGUUCAUAUCGACGGCGGUGUUUGGCACCUCGAUGUCGGCUCAUCACAUCCUGGGGCUGAAGUCGGUCCCAAGGGUAUGGCUGUUCGCCAUUUAAAGUGGUACGCGAGCUGGGUUCAGAACGUCGUGAGACAGUUCGGUCCCUAUCUGCCGUGGGCGUUGGAUGAUUGAAGGGAGUUGCUCCUAGUACGAGAGGACCGGAGUGAACGAACCUCUGGUGUUCGGGUUGUCACGCCAGUGGCACUGCCCGGUAGCUAAGUUCGGAAUCGAUAACCGCUGAAAGCAUCUAAGCGGGAAGCGAGCCCUGAGAUGAGUCAUCCCUGACCCCUUGAGGGUCCUAAAGGGCCGUUGGAGACCACAACGUUGAUAGGUGGGGUGUGUAAGCGCGGCGACGUGUUGAGCUAACCCAUACUAAUUACCCGUGAGGCUUAACCAUACAACACCCAAGAAGUGUUC
RNAcentral lists this ribosomal RNA (3280 nucleotides) under Aeromonas dhakensis. Its description in RNAcentral is "23S ribosomal RNA". It matches the Rfam family "Bacterial large subunit ribosomal RNA". Lineage: Bacteria; Pseudomonadati; Pseudomonadota; Gammaproteobacteria; Aeromonadales; Aeromonadaceae. The record is from RNAcentral.